GGAGAUUGCAGCCGCAGCAGCUGGCUGGAAGAGGGCGGUUUGGAAGAUAAGGAGGAGAAGGAUGAGACUGUUAACCUCCAAACUAAAGAAUACAUGAUUCUGUGGUUUAUUCAAGAUCUUAACAAAGGAUUUCCACUUGAAAUUGGAUUAUCUGUGAUGGAGCUAUUCGCUGGAGAAAUUUGACUCUCUGUCUCCCUCAUGAGCUGUUGACAACCUGUAGCUCUUCAUCUCGGUGUAGAGCCUGCUCACAUCAUGGAAGACAGGAAACAGAGAGAAAGACAGAGAGAGCAAAGACAUGAUUUAAAUUCUAAGAAUAUGACCUACUUUUUCCAGUUAUGCCCCAUCUCCUAAUGUUUCCAGGGCUUCUCAAAAUAGCAUCAUGAACUGAGGACAGACCUGCUAAUACAUGAUCUUUUUUUUUUUUUUUUUUUGAGUGACUCAUCUUAUUCAAACCACAACAUGAUCAGAGAAGAAAAAUAAAAAGGGCUACAUAUAUGCUGGAUACCUACAAUAUACAGGCCUCUGGACCUCUUUUCUCCAUCUUAACUAACACCUAUCAUUUAUCUAACUUCCUCAAGAUUUGUUGAGAUGGGAGUUGGGAGGAGAAGGGAAUGAUAACUCCAUCUCCGCUUUCCAUCUCUGGUUCUUCCUCUUCUUCCUCCUCCUCCUUACCCUCUUCCUCUUCUUCUUCUUCCUCCUCCUCCUUAGAUUUAUUUUGUUUAUAUGAGUAUACUGUAGCUAUCUUCAGACACAUCAGAAGAGGGAAUUGGAUUCCAUUAAGAAUGGUUGUGAGCUACUAAGUGAUUGCUGAGAAUUGAACUCAGGAGCUCUGGAAGAACAGCCAGUGCUCUUAACCACUGAGCCAUCUCUCCAGCUCCUACUUGUUUCUUUCUUGUUACCUCUCUUUUCCAAAUGUUAGCUGGCCAGCAGCAAGCAACCAGACCUAGUCCAGGUAAUAUUCCUGGCAAUGAGGUAGGCUAGUGACCAAAUCUACAACACAUGGCCUUUGAGGGAUAUUUAAGGUCCAAAACAUAAGAAAGAUUAUCCGCCCCUGCCCGGCCCAUGCACUGACAGGAAAUAUUAAUGCCCAAUAUAUAGCUAAUCUCUUGAAAUUAUCACUGGGUUCACAGGUUAAGAAUAAAGCAAGUCCAAGUUGAUAACCAAGUAAUAUAUUACUGUGGCCAGGACUCACACAUAGUAUCUACCUUCUUAAUAAGGAAGUCAGAGUUCCCUUUUGGGUUCUUAUUAUCAUGGAUAAAAGAAUUUAAAAACAGAAUGAAAGAAUCAUUUUAUUAGAGUUUGAAAGAAAAACAACAUAACAGGCAAACUGUAAAUCUUAGCAGCUGAUGGGAUGAGGGAAAUGAAACAAAGCAAGCCAGGCCUUUUGAGUUAGGGGUAAAAAUAAACCAUCCUGUUCAGCAAUGGGAAUCAGCCAGCAGCUGCAUGAUAGAGAGGGAGAGAGGCUACAGAGAAAGGAUGAGAAUGUCCUGAGUGUAACGGGAAUCAUCUUUAGGUUUGGGGCCAGUAUCUGAAAGAAAAAUAUGGAAGAAAAAUGUGUAAGUUUUUGUUGUUGUUAUUUCCAGAGCUAAGUACACCAAGCAGGCUUAGUAGGGGUUCAGGUGCAUAUGCAGGCCACAAUUUCUUUAUCCAUCCAUCCAGAGCUUUAAGCAGCUGCAUCCAAAGAGGAGCUUCUGGGAAGGCUAAGUGCAUUAUCUCAUUAAGGGGUGAUUAUUUCUCCAGGCUUCUGGCCAUACAGUCUACAAGCCUCGCUGAAUUAACUCUCAAAGAAGACACAGUAUGUAAUGAUCUAAUUCUUGGAGCAGAACUGAGUGUCAUAUCUCCAGCUAGGGACAGAAAUAAAAUCCAUUACAUUAACCAGGAAGUAGUUUCUUUUAAUGGCCUUCGAUAGUGCCCCAGUAUCUUUAUGUUUUCAUGUGGUAUUUUAAGUCCUAAACUGGGGCAUUUUUAGUGUUUAACUCUCUGUGUUAUACAGGAAACAGGAGGUGUUAUCCAAAACCAACCAUAUUUCUAGUACUUAUUCAUGUUUAAUUAAAACACAUACCCUUUAGAUAGCAAUUCUGUUGUGGGUUAUACACCAGAGAAGACUGCUCAGAAAAGGGUUUAAGCCAAUAGAAAGUUUUUAUUAACCUGUCAGCCACUGCACUGGGUGUUCAGGAUCCCAGUGUAGUCCCUAUCCUUUCUUGGGGUAAGCUUUUAAACACAAAAACUAUGUUCUGGGUUGUCAUAGUUCAGUUAACAAGAACGGUUAGCCAGAAGUGGAACUACAGAAGCUAAAAAACAACGUCUGUAUAUUUAGAGACUUCCCCAGAAAAAAAUGGUCUCUGAUGGACUUUGAUGGAUGUGACCUUUGUUUUCAUUUUGGCAGGUGAUACUGUCUACAUGCUGAAUUUUAUGAGUUGAUUGGUACUUCCAUCCUGGAGUCAGUUGUGUUAAGGUCUGGAGGCCUAUUAAAGCCCGCGCCCCUGUUAUAGUUCUUAAUUUCUCUACCAUCAUAUUCCUGAAAAUCAGUAUUUUCCAUGUAUCUCAGAAUUUGACCAUUUCAGAAUAUAAUAUAAGUAGAAUCACACAGUAUUUGUUCUUCUUUGAGAAUAUCUUCUUCUUAUCAAUAGUAGAUAACCCACCAAGGCCCAAUAUUUAUAUAUCUCCAUCUUUAAUCUCUCAUACCUUAUAAAACUUUUAUUUCCAUAAAUCCCCAUGCCUACUCCUGGAACCACUGGCCUGAAGCUGCUGACCUUCUCCUCAAUUCCUUCAUUUCCUUUGUACCAAUUAUUUUAAAAACUGUCUUAGUUAGGGUUUUACUGCUGUGAAAGAUAUCAUGACCAAAGCAACUCUUAUAAGGACAACAUGUAAUUGGGUCUGGCUUACAGGUUCAGAGAUUCAGUCUAUUAUCACCAAGGUGGGAACAUAGCAGCAUCCAGGCAGGCAUGGUGCAGGAAGAGCUGAGAGUUCUACAUCUUCAUCUGAAGGCUGCUAGCAGAAUACUGGCUUCCAGGCAUCUAGGUCUAGGAUAUUAAAGCUCAUGCCCAAAGUUACACAGGUACUCCAACAAGGCUAUGCCUCCUAAUAGUGCCUCUCCCUGGGCCAAACAUAGAAAACCCACUAUACUAGACCAUCAGAAAAGCCUGUGGGGUUGGAUUCCAGCCUAUGAGAAAAAAAGCAGCCAUCUUGUUUGUGGGAGAAAGCAAGAGAGCAGUCCUGCCCCAGUGUUCUGCUAACCUGUUUUUGGGAGCUUCUCACUUUUUUUUUUUUUUUUAAGUUUCUUUGCUGAGCUCCUUUCAUGGUUCUCAUGUGUUCCUUUGUGUGACACAGAGAUUAUUCUUGUUUCUAACCCUUCUGUAACUGCCCUAUGUGACUCACUGUGUCACAUGUCUUUUUAAGGUGAAAAGUAUCUAACUGCAUAUGCAUACCAUGAUUUAUUUAUCCACCCAUACCCAUACAGAUAAAUAUUUAGGUUGUUAGUGUACCUGGACUACUGUAUAUAAUGCUACAAUAAACAUGAGAAUGC
RNAcentral lists this long non-coding RNA (3526 nucleotides) under Mus musculus (house mouse). RNAcentral describes it as "predicted gene 2093 (Gm2093)". The record is from RNAcentral. Lineage: Eukaryota; Metazoa; Chordata; Mammalia; Rodentia; Muridae.